UUAACAUAUCCAAUAUUUUCUGCUUCCUCUACAAGAUUUUCAAAAAUUUUAAAGCCAAAAACCCUAACAUUCUACUUCACUAUAAAUAUCAAACGUCUUUCUUAUUUCUUACUCAUCCAACAAUUACCUUUACUCACAACAAACGACUCAUUUUUCUUUUUUCCAAUGUCUCAAUCAAUUGCUUUCCUUGAUGAUGUGAAGCUGUACAAAACGGCUUGGAGAGUUCAAGUCGGUGUCUUGCAUAUCUGCAAUUUAUAGAAGAACCAUAUGAUUCUCCGAUUGUUUUACAAUGGUUAGUUAGUAACGAUUUAGUUUGGUUGUGAAUUUGGUUUUCAACACAUUCAAGCAAUGAUAAGUUUUUUAAUUCUUAUCAUGCUACUACAAUUCAAUCAAAUAUUGUUUAAAAAAUCAACGAUUUCAUCUAAAUUGCAUUCCUUAACAAUAAAAUGGCUUUUCAAACUUUUUGUACAAAACAGAAACACCUAAGUUGAUUUUUAUCCCUAAUCGAAUGCACAAAAUGUAAAUGUUCAUCUAAAAUAAUAACUGAGAAAAUAACCUUAUAGAGAUGAUGAUUGAUUGGUUUAUGGGCACGCAUCGAAAUCUAACUUUUGCCCGGAUUAAGACAAUCGGGGUUUUCGACUCCUGUCUACCUUCAGAUAUCGGUCAUGGUGUUUCCUACCUUCAUGAGUGGCUAUCCGGCUUCUCUUUGCAAUAAUUCACACUCAAUUGAAGCCAAAUAUGAUCUGGGUUAGAUUUUAGGAAAUUAGAUAGAGAUGAGAACUCAACAAAUGAAGAACAUUAAUUGUAUUCGUGUUUGAGUUACCAACGAUCUAGAUCGGCCCAGAUACAUGCAAAAUCGAUGGAUUCUCUGAUUGGAUAUACAUGCUGAAUCGAUGGAUUCUCUGAUCGGAUUAUAGAGUUGCUCGAAGAAAAUCAGAAAUCAAGAUGUAAGAAACGUCUUUCUGUUUUCCUUUUUUUUUUUUUUUUUUUAAGACUUAUGUCACUAAACGCAAUU
This 1015-nucleotide long non-coding RNA is filed under the name Arabidopsis lyrata. RNAcentral describes it as "long non-coding RNA (ALYR_LNC001569)". Lineage: Eukaryota; Viridiplantae; Streptophyta; Magnoliopsida; Brassicales; Brassicaceae. The record is from RNAcentral.